AAGUUUUUAACAAGGUUUCCGUAGGUGAACCUGCGGAAGGAUCAUUGUCG
This 50-nucleotide ribosomal RNA is filed under the name Justicia gendarussa. Its description in RNAcentral is "partial 18S ribosomal RNA". Lineage: Eukaryota; Viridiplantae; Streptophyta; Magnoliopsida; Lamiales; Acanthaceae. The record is from RNAcentral.